This 1519-nucleotide ribosomal RNA is filed under the name uncultured bacterium. RNAcentral's name for it is "partial 16S ribosomal RNA". It matches the Rfam family "Bacterial small subunit ribosomal RNA". The record is from RNAcentral.
GUUUGAUCCUGGCUCAGGACGAACGCUGGCGGCGUGCCUAAUACAUGCAAGUCGAACGCUUCUUUCCUCCCGAGUGCUUGCACUCAAUUGGAAAGAGGAGUGGCGGACGGGUGAGUAACACGUGGGUAACCUACCCAUCAGAGGGGGAUAACACUUGGAAACAGGUGCUAAUACCGCAUAACAGUUUAUGCCGCAUGGCAUAAGAGUGAAAGGCGCUUUCGGGUGUCGCUGAUGGAUGGACCCGCGGUGCAUUAGCUAGUUGGUGAGGUAACGGCUCACCAAGGCCACGAUGCAUAGCCGACCUGAGAGGGUGAUCGGCCACACUGGGACUGAGACACGGCCCAGACUCCUACGGGAGGCAGCAGUAGGGAAUCUUCGGCAAUGGACGAAAGUCUGACCGAGCAACGCCGCGUGAGUGAAGAAGGUUUUCGGAUCGUAAAACUCUGUUGUUAGAGAAGAACAAGGACGUUAGUAACUGAACGUCCCCUGACGGUAUCUAACCAGAAAGCCACGGCUAACUACGUGCCAGCAGCCGCGGUAAUACGUAGGUGGCAAGCGUUGUCCGGAUUUAUUGGGCGUAAAGCGAGCGCAGGCGGUUUCUUAAGUCUGAUGUGAAAGCCCCCGGCUCAACCGGGGAGGGUCAUUGGAAACUGGGAGACUUGAGUGCAGAAGAGGAGAGUGGAAUUCCAUGUGUAGCGGUGAAAUGCGUAGAUAUAUGGAGGAACACCAGUGGCGAAGGCGGCUCUCUGGUCUGUAACUGACGCUGAGGCUCGAAAGCGUGGGGAGCAAACAGGAUUAGAUACCCUGGUAGUCCACGCCGUAAACGAUGAGUGCUAAGUGUUGGAGGGUUUCCGCCCUUCAGUGCUGCAGCAAACGCAUUAAGCACUCCGCCUGGGGAGUACGACCGCAAGGUUAAAACUCAAAUGAAUUGACGGGGGCCCGCACAAGCGGUGGAGCAUGUGGUUUAAUUCGAUGCAACGCGAAGAACCUUACCUGGUCUUGACAUCCACGGAAGUUUUCAGAGAUGAGAAUGUGCCUUCGGGAACCGUGAGACAGGUGCUGCAUGGCUGUCGUCAGCUCGUGUUGUGAAAUGUUGGGUUAAGUCCCGCAACGAGCGCAACCCUUAUCCUUUGUUGCCAGCGGUCCGGCCGGGAACUCAAAGGAGACUGCCAGUGAUAAACUGGAGGAAGGUGGGGAUGACGUCAAGUCAUCAUGGCCCUUACGACCAGGGCUACACACGUGCUACAAUGGCGCAUACAAAGAGAAGCGACCUCGCGAGAGCAAGCGGACCUCAUAAAGUGCGUCGUAGUCCGGAUUGGAGUCUGCAACUCGACUCCAUGAAGUCGGAAUCGCUAGUAAUCGUGGAUCAGAAUGCCACGGUGAAUACGUUCCCGGGCCUUGUACACACCGCCCGUCACACCAUGGGAGUGGGUUGCAAAAGAAGUAGGUAGCUUAACCUUCGGGAGGGCGCUUACCACUUUGUGAUUCAUGACUGGGGUGAAGUCGUAACAAGGUAACC